Molecule: ribosomal RNA, 300 nt
Filed under: uncultured bacterium
Lineage: Bacteria
Description: bacterial SSU rRNA
Rfam family: Bacterial small subunit ribosomal RNA
Source: RNAcentral
GGAUUAGAUACCCUGGUAGUCCACGCCCUAAACGAUGUGCACUGGAUCCGGGAGGUUCUGACACCAUCCGGAUCGAAGCAAAAGUGUUAAGUGCACCGCCUGGGGAGUACGGUCGCAAGGCUAAAACUCAAAGGAAUUGACGGGGGCUCACACAAGCGGUGGAGCAUGUGGCUUAAUUCGAAGCAACGCGAAGAACCUUAUCCAGGGUUUGACAUGCACGGAUUAACGCUUGGAAACAAGCGCCACGCUCUUUGAGUGGAACGUGCACAGGUGCUGCAUGGCUGUCGUCAGCUCGUGUCG